Molecule: non-coding RNA, 23 nt
Filed under: Cricetulus griseus (Chinese hamster)
Lineage: Eukaryota; Metazoa; Chordata; Mammalia; Rodentia; Cricetidae
Source: RNAcentral
UGUGGCGAACGCAAUAGAACAAC